UACGGAGGGUGCGAGAGUUAAUCGGAAUUACUGGGCGUAAAGCGUGCGCAGGCGGUUAUAUAAGACAGAUGUGAAAUCCCCGGGCUCAACCUGGGCACUGCAUUUGUGACUGUAUAGCUAGAGUACGGUAGAGGGGGAUGGAAUUCCGCGUGUAGCAGUGAAAUGCGUAGAUAUGCGGAGGAACACCGAUGGCGAAGGCAAUCCCAUGGACCUGUACGGACGCGCAUGCACGAAAGCGGGGGGAGCCCACAGGCUGCGAUAACACUGUAGUCC
Molecule: ribosomal RNA, 273 nt
Filed under: uncultured bacterium
Lineage: Bacteria
Description: partial 16S ribosomal RNA
Rfam family: Bacterial small subunit ribosomal RNA
Source: RNAcentral